CGCCCGGCUCCUUCCGGGUCGUAGCCGUGCCGGGAGGGCGGUUGCUGUGGAAGCCGCGGCUAUGGCGGCACCUGCUCCGGUGAGCAGUCGCACCGCCCAGCGCGACGAGCCUCCCGGCUCCACAGAGUCGUCGGAUACCGCCCGGACGCCAUUGCCCACCGUGUCCACCCUGUACCCCGAGCUACCUGUCUCGCCGGCACAGGGCGUGGAGCCUCCGGGCAAGAGCCUGUGGGAGCAGAUCUGCGAGGAGUAUGAAGCUGAGCUGCCUCCCUUUCCAGAGGGAUAUAAAGUCAAACAAGAAGCAAUGAUUACUGUUUCACCAUUAGAGGAAGCAGUUCUCCAUGGCUUCAAUACAGAGCACCUUUAUUCAGUUCCUCAUUUGACCAUGGACUCGCAUGUACCCUGUCCUCAAGUUCAGUUGGAAACAAUCGAUCCAAAAACAUGUUCCCCCAAGGAAUAUUUAGAAACAUUCAUCUUUCCAGUUCUGCUUCCUGGAAUGGCUAGCCUGCUUCACCAAGCAAAGAAAGAAAAAUGUUUCGAGAGAAAAAGAACCAAAUUCAUUGCCUGUAAUUUUCUGACCGAGUGGUUAUACAAUCAAAAUCCAAAGAGGAUAGGGGAGUCUUUCACAGAAUUCUUCUCCAUUCCAUUUGUGGAGCAGUGGCUGAAGCAUCACCCACGGCCGCCGAUCCCACUCUCCCUCCUGCUGACAGAAGAAGAGGCAGCGCUGAGCAUUCAAUCCUUCUGGAGAGCCUAUCUGGUUCGGUGUGAUCCUGAGAUUCAAGAGUUGCGUCAGUGGCAAAAGAAACUGCGUGAAGACAAGCACAUUCGCCAGCGAGUCAAGAUUUUCUGGGCCAAACAAGAACAGAAAGGGAGAAAGCAAGAUAUAAAUACAUUCAGAAAGAAAACUGGCAGCUGCCUUGUUUACAACACAGAGGUUGUGAAUCUCACAUGAAAUCGUAUAUAUGAAAGAACGUGAAACUCUGAGAAGCUUGCUCCAGGGGGAGUUGUCAUUGGGGUGUAUCCAGCUCUUGCAGAGUGAAAUGCAAAAUGGAGGAUGAGGAGGAGGUUGUACCUAAGACUCCACCAUCUUAACCACCGGUGGGACCUUUCCCAAUUGGAGCUUCCAUGACCCUACAUGAGGAAAAUGUACAAAUUAUGCUUCCUCUCUUGAUUUUUUAAAGGAUAGAUUUGGUGCCUGUGAAUAUGGAAUUUUUUCUACACGAGAUAGGAUUUGUGGCAAACAUGCUUUAGUGCGUAUAAUUUAUCACAGGAGAGCACUCAUCUUACUUCCUGCAUUAUCUCCAGAUUUUAUUCUUUUAUCCAGUAUUAUUUCUUCAGUACUUCAGGAAUAUUCUUCUACACUAAGUGUCAUUACAAUGUACAGUGAGCUCUAGUUCCAAGAGAUGGUGAAGUGCUAAUUUAGGUACCAGUUUCCCAUCUCUGGCUGCCUUUGGAAAGAUGGAUACUUAAAUUUAAGUCCCAAACUUCUGCAGUGGGUUUUAUCUGGUGAGUAUUCUUUUCAUAAAAAAGGCAUAUUGGCUACGACCAUUUCCAAAGGAGAUGGACUCUUAACUCUGAUUUCUGAUUGCAAAUCCAACAAGUUGAGACACUUAAGCCCAGACAACAAUAACAGACAAAGGACUUUGGUUGUCAAGUCCCCAAAGUAUUAUGGAAAGCCCCCCAUUUGAUGGAAAAGCUAACUUAUUACCCUCAUUUGUUCUGUGGUUUGCUGUUAACCAGGGCUAUCCCGUUCAAAAUGCCACAGACUUAGCCUCCAGGCAGAUCCAAAAGCCAAGUAGUUACGCUGGGUUGUUUUGACAAGCUACCACACAUCUUAAGUAAAUAGUAAAGCCUUUAUUUUUGUGUUAAGAACAGCAUUUUGAAAAUAAAACCUAUCUGCCCAUGCUUUACAACCUUUAAAUUUGUAAUAUUUAUAUACAGUCAUUUAUGGUACACAUUGAUUGUCUUGAAAUUUCUUUAACGAUUUUUUUAAUAAGUAUGCAACAGUCAGCCAGGGGAGAAUAAAGGUACAUUAUAAAACACACAUUAAUACAUUUAAUAAAUAUAUAUUAUCUAUCAAAAACGAGCUUUAGCUCUUCAUCAAUUAAUAAAAAGCACCUGCUGAGAA
Canis lupus familiaris (dog) is the source of this 2128-nucleotide RNA transcript. It is a transcript of the gene named IQ motif containing K, with no coding region annotated. The record is from RefSeq and is a predicted model, not a curated record. The transcript is spliced from 10 exons. NCBI's taxonomy places the organism in Eukaryota, Metazoa, Chordata, Mammalia, Carnivora, Canidae.